RNAcentral lists this ribosomal RNA (543 nucleotides) under Paraburkholderia sp. RNAcentral's name for it is "bacterial SSU rRNA". It matches the Rfam family "Bacterial small subunit ribosomal RNA", at positions 440 to 990 of the family's 1533-position model. Lineage: Bacteria; Pseudomonadati; Pseudomonadota; Betaproteobacteria; Burkholderiales; Burkholderiaceae. The record is from RNAcentral.
UCGGGGUUAAUACCCCUGGAGGAUGACGGUACCGGAAGAAUAAGCACCGGCUAACUACGUGCCAGCAGCCGCGGUAAUACGUAGGGUGCGAGCGUUAAUCGGAAUUACUGGGCGUAAAGCGUGCGCAGGCGGUCCGCUAAGACCGAUGUGAAAUCCCCGGGCUUAACCUGGGAACUGCAUUGGUGACUGGCGGGCUAGAGUAUGGCAGAGGGGGGUAGAAUUCCACGUGUAGCAGUGAAAUGCGUAGAGAUGUGGAGGAAUACCGAUGGCGAAGGCAGCCCCCUGGGCCAAUACUGACGCUCAUGCACGAAAGCGUGGGGAGCAAACAGGAUUAGAUACCCUGGUAGUCCACGCCCUAAACGAUGUCAACUAGUUGUCGGGUCUUCAUUGACUUGGUAACGUAGCUAACGCGUGAAGUUGACCGCCUGGGGAGUACGGUCGCAAGAUUAAAACUCAAAGGAAUUGACGGGGACCCGCACAAGCGGUGGAUGAUGUGGAUUAAUUCGAUGCAACGCGAAAAACCUUACCUACCCUUGACAUGUA